RNAcentral lists this long non-coding RNA (2921 nucleotides) under Canis lupus familiaris (dog). Its description in RNAcentral is "lncRNA (ENSCAFG00000054116.1)". Lineage: Eukaryota; Metazoa; Chordata; Mammalia; Carnivora; Canidae. The record is from RNAcentral.
UUAAUUUUGUUGUGAGUGGAGAUAAUGAGGGGAUUAUUCUCAGUUGUUGCUUACACAGAACAAGAUUUUAAUACAUUGAUCAGUUUAGCUAUUUGAACAUGAUUCUUGAUAGGAAGACCUUUAGUUGGUUUAUUCAGAGCUUUUCUUCCUCUUUUUAUUUAUUUUCUCUCUUUCUUUCUUUCAUCUAUUUUUUUGCUAUAUCUGCAGUUUCUGUUUUUUUUCUUCAUUUCAUAAUUUAGUGGAAAUCUCAAGUAAUACUUGAAUCAACUCUUAUUAUUCAUUCCCUUUGUUGUUGCUGACUCUAUAGUCAAAGAUCCAAGCCAGGUAUCUCACUGGUGGCCUUAUAAAAUGCAAUGCUCUUUCAAGUUUAUAUCUUUAAGGCUAUCCAAAAUCAGUUUAUCAACACUGAUUUUUCUCUACUGUAUAAUACGCAGCUUUUUUUCUAAUUGGGAUGGCUCUCUCUCUCUUGCUCCUGCUUUAUCAAUCUUGUCUCCAUGACUUUUCUUAAAGUUUCCCAUUGAAAAUGUCCUUUUACUUAUUCUGACCACUCAAGCAAGGUGUAUCAAUUCCUGAAGGUCCCAUAUUCAGUCCCAUGUUCUCCAUGACUCCUUUAUGAAGCCACAUGAGCUAUUCCUUUAUCAGCUAUUUUUUCCUUCUUUGAAUUUAUGUUACUGCUCUUUUAGCCAACUCUGAUGGUUUGCAUCUAACCCCAUGUUGCCUUAUAUUCUUUUCUCAAAUCCUCUUUUGUAUUCCUAUCCAUCCCAGACUAGAGUACUCACUUCAUCAGCAAAGGUACUAAAGUUUGUGCCUCUUUCAUAUUUCCCAAGAGCCAGAGACAGUGCCAGUCACAGAACAGGUGCUUAAUACAAACCGGUUAUCUGAUUCUAGAGUCCUACUAGAGUAUCAAAAUGAUGAUUAUACUAUCAGAAAAUCAUCUGUCAUCAUUCUCUGAAUUAUCACAUCUCCUGCUCAACUUUUCAUACUUCAUGUUUCUUUCUAGAGAUUACUUUUUUCUCAUUGUAAGGGCAAUGUCUGGGAGAGGGAGACUACUCUACUCUGCCAUCCAUUUUUCCAUAAGUCUGGUAGAAAAUGGAUGAUUCAAAUAACUUCUUCCUAAUAUGAUUUAUGUGAAAGGGAAGUAUUUUCUAUUUCCCCCUUAUGUGCUCUUGUUUUGAAUUGCAAAUAUUCACUUUCACAUAUAUUUAAAAGUUAUUUUGACAGUAUGUAAUGGAGAUUUAAAACAUUCUGAACUUGGCUGUUUUCCCUUGAUCAAAUCUUUUUUUAGUAGAAACACUGUAAAUACACCAACAAGUGUCAGAACAUACAGUAUAGUGAACAGCCAAGGACAAUCUGUUAUGAUAUUCUGCAUAUUAAAGACCAGUUUGUUUAUGCCACCAGGAGGAAUUCAUUUUUAGUAUUUUGAUUUGAUGGAUUUAGUGAGAAUGAUAUAAUUUGCUUCACUAAACAACAGUGCCACAGCAAAAGGAUAUCCAUUACUCUUUACUUGGUGCUAAAAGGAAGAAAUUGUAAUGAUGGGAAUAGUUAAGGAGGCCAAAGAGGCAGUAUUCUUAGAAUUAGCAGAAGGAAAUUCAGCUAUGAUACUUGGAAGUUGAAUGGCAAUAAUUCUAUUCAAAUAGGUCAGUAGAAUGGGUCAGGAACUUGCUCCAUGGUAAGAGAAGUGAAACUGCUAGCUCUCUUACAUAGAAGCCUUAGAACUAAGGAAUGCCCUCCAGAGAAUAACUGGUAUGAGCUAUAAUCUUCCUGACUGAUGUUCCAAAAUGGGGAUUGAGCUGUGAGAAGGAUCAGAAGUAAUUUCUGAGUUGUCAGACUUAGAGGAAGCAAAACCACAGGCUUUCUUUCCACAUCUUCGUUUUUUGUUUUUUUUUCCCCCCAUUUCCUCCUUCUCUAACUUUAGCUUCUGUCCCUCUUACUGCAUCCAAUUUUCAUAUAAGGGAUUAGACAGGCCCUUAGAGAGGAAUGAUUUAUUAAAAGCUGCUAGUCUUAUCUAACCCUGGGAAAUAAACAAGGGGUAGUGGAAAGGGAGGUGGGUGGGGUUUGGGGUGACUGGGUGACGGGCACUGAGGCGAGCACUUGGUAGGGUGAGCACUGGGUAUUACACUAUAUGUUGGCAAAUUGAACUCCAAUUAAAAAAUAAAUACAAAAUAUUUAAAAAGCUACUGGUCUUAUGAGAAGGACAAAAUCAGAUGUGUUGGGUGCUGUUUUUUGAUUAUUCUAAUGGCACAGAAAAAGAAGCAACACUCAGAAUCAAAGAUGAGCAAAAUUAAUUAAAUCAAUAUUCAUUAACAUGUAUUUCUUAAGGGAGGAGAUAUAAAGAUAUAUAAUAUUUCAUGCUUUCAAAUUGUUUGUAAUCAGUUGAAAGUUGAAAAAAGUUAUAUACUGAAACAGUUAUAUAAGAAAAAAGCAACUGACAGUUUAAGGGAAUAUGUGUUAAGAGCAAAUUAACUGUUACAGAUCAAAGUGUGGAAGAGAUCAUCACUGUUGACUAGGGGUGGUCCAAGAAAUGUAGCUUUGGGGCAACACUGUAUAUAAUAUUCAAACAGGUAAACCAUGGCUAGGAUCAAGUUUGAGUAAAGGGCCAGAGGCAAUUCUAGAUAGGUUUGCCUCAGAUAGAAGGAUUUUAAUGGUAGAAAAUUGUGGGAAAGUGACUUGGCGUCAGCUUGUGCCAAGGUAGAGAGCCAGGGCCUAUUCAGAAUGUGCUGUAGAACCACUGACAGUGACCAUGGGAAAGAAAGAUGUGAGCAUUGUAACAGAACAGGAAUUGAGGGUCCAGGUCACUGAUAAGGGCUGGGAGAAUUGGAUAGGGGUGGUAUCUAGAUCACAGAAGGGUUAGAAGGGAUGCAUUUUGAUAUCUAGCAUAUUAAAGUGAGUGGAAGUGUCCAUAAACAACAAAAAAAAAAAAA